This 2173-nucleotide long non-coding RNA is filed under the name Homo sapiens (human). RNAcentral's name for it is "HSALNT0312233". The record is from RNAcentral. Lineage: Eukaryota; Metazoa; Chordata; Mammalia; Primates; Hominidae.
CAUGUUUGCUUCCCCUUCUGCCGUUAUUGCAAAUUCCCUGAGACCUCCCCAGCCAUGCAGAACUGUUAGUCAAUUAAGCCUCAUUCCAUUAUAAAUUGCCCAGUUUCAGGCAGUUCUUCACAGCAGCAUGAAAAGGGACUAAUACAAUACUCUUAUAUGAUGAAAGUAGUUGAAACAGCAAGUUCUCUCCUUUCCGAAUAUAUGUCCUGAGACUAAACUUCUUUGAUUUCUCCAUGGAGGGGAUAGGACAUUGGGCCGAUCUCAUUGCUCCCAGCCUAGCAGGCAUCAGAACCUUAGAAGCCAUGAUUUCACUCAGUGAGUCACUGUCACAUUGGCACAUCCUAUUCCCUGUUGAUGGUGCCACCUUUUACACAAAGGCACUCAGCACAUCCUGCACUGGCAAUGAGAUGAGUCUCCCUGGCUGCCCCUUCCUCUAUGCGACCUCACAAUGAUUGCAUUGGAAGGAUUAUGACAGCAACUUCCUGCAGUCCCAUGGUGCCCAACAAAUUGAGGGUGACUCAGUGCCUCAGACAAGGAGGUAAAUGUUUCUUUUCAAUGAUUAUAAUCGUCACUCUUUCCUGUCCCCUCCUCCCCACAGUUGCUGAUACUAUAUUCCAUUAUGUUUAUAAAAAUAUUAAGGGACAUUAGUAUAAGGUGAUUAGGAUAAUAUUUAGUUACUAUUAUAAUAUAUUCUGUUUGAAAUACUAUAACUUAAGAUGUUCCAGACAUUGCACCACAGACUUUAUACAUUGUGGUGGACAAAACAUGGCCAGAAAUUUAUCAACAUUUCUGCAAUUCAGAGGAUACUGAGGCACUGUGAGGUUCACUGAAAGCUGGACUGUGAGGAAGAUUCGGGCCGUCGGACUCCAGACCCCAAGCUCUAACAUACUAUAUGGAGAAAUUAAGGCAUUGAAAAGUCACUUGCCCCAGAUGACACAGCUAGUGGACAGUCGAGGAAAUGUGGGCUCUGGAGUUGAAUCACGAUCUAGAUUCAAAUCUUGGUCCUGCCAUUUGCUGGAGGGACAUGUUUAGGAGGGCAUCCCAGGAGAAGGCAGAGUCCAGGAGGCGGAUGUUGGGAAGCAAAUCCUGAACUCAUCAAGUCCCAUAGCCCCUUUGUCUAUGGACCUUCUGCCAGCAUCUUCUGUAAGGAGGGGCUGCAUUUACUCAGGAGUAGACUACUUAGAGAAGCCAAGCUCACAGGACCUCAAGACCACACAGGAAGCAACAGGUGAUAAGGGGAUUUGAAAUUAGGCGAACCAUCUUUCUGUCCCCUUGCUCUUGACCACUGUUUUACUGCCCUCUUUCAGUCUUUAACGAUUUCUUUAAUAACUCUUUCAUUUGUUGGCAUUUAUUGUGUGACAGGCACCGGGGAUUCAAAGGAAAGUAACUUAUAGAUGGCCCCUUCCCUGGGGAAGUUUACCACCCUUUGGGGACAGAUCACCAAAAUCCUCUUCCUUGCUGGCACCCAUUGAGCACUUCCUGUGAACCAGGCUCCGUGCUAAGCCCUGUACCUGGGAUAUCUUAUUUAAGCCUCAGAACUCUUAUCUCCAGAGUAAUGGUUCACCUAUCUCUUGCCCUGGGAGGCUGACACCUGUAGACUGCAUCUCACGCUCUCCUUGGCCAGCUAGCUUCAAGUUGAGUUCAGCUAGAAAACAACCCUGACAAGGAAAUGAGAAGUUUCUUCAAUCAACCCUUAUUUUUCUUUGCUGUGAGGACCAGGAAGGAACCAAUCUGUUUAAAAACUGUUGCCCGCUGGUGGCUCGUUGCCAGGUCUGAGAUAACACUGGUGGUCCCUCUGAGGGCUGAGGACGCAUUCCCCGGGUACUGCAAUCAGAGCAGACGCAUGUGCAGCUGUGGAUGGAGGGAGCUGACGUGUUCUCUCCGGGAGCAGAGGAGCAAAUGUCACGAGAAAAGCCCUUGAAAAUGGUUCUCAUCCCUUUCUCCAUCGCAGACAACCCAGAAUAAACUGUUCUGAAAUGUUGACGUUUAAUAAUAUUAAUAUUAGUAAUGGCUGGAAAGGGCUUCUGGUAAUGAGAUUCCAGGAUAAAUAGGUCACUGGGUUUUCAUUGCUUAUCAAUGAAGUUCCCAAAAAGAUCUUUUUUAAGGAAAUAGGCUCAUGUAAACUUUUUUUUUUUUAAAAAAAGGAAGGAAAUACAUUGUCUUUAUAAUAAGG